Molecule: long non-coding RNA, 708 nt
Filed under: Marmota monax (woodchuck)
Lineage: Eukaryota; Metazoa; Chordata; Mammalia; Rodentia; Sciuridae
Source: RNAcentral
GGUUCUCAAAAAUUCUGAGAAUGAUAAUUGAUUUUUGGUUGUCCUGAAAGCCUAUUAUUAUUAUUAUUAUUUUUUUUUUAGAUUGCUACAGCCAAUUCUGGAACUUCCCAAAGCCAAUGACCCAUUUUUCCAAAUGCCCUUAAAGGUGUCAAAUGUUACUCCUUUGUGGGAUGAAUGGAACUUCUGAAAUAACCAAAUAAUUUCUGAGAAGGAGAAGGCUGAUAACACAGAGUAAUGCUGACUGCCAAAAGUGAAACUGCUUUUCUCAUGACUUGUGAAUUGACACGAAAAACAAUCAGAAAAGAGAAGUCCUAAAAGUGUUCUUCAUGACAAGGCGUCAGGAUUGGCACAUAUUCUCCAAAAGUAGCAACCCAAAAGGACACGAUUUAUUUGGAUAUGUGAGUUCUAGGUUUAUAACUGCCUUGGGUCAAAUUGUAUAUAUGGGUUAAUUAAAAAAAAAACUAAACAGAGUGAACUGGCAAAAAAAAAUGAGUAUCUAAUAGUUUUAUUAUUACAGGUCUUACAUUUAAGCCUUUAAGCAAUUUUGAGUUGAUUUUUGUAUUUGGUGAGCAACGAGGUCUAGCUUCAUUCUUCUGCAGUUUUCCCAGCACCAUUUAUUCAGGAGACAGUCCGGUUAAAAUGGUGGAAUAAGUUCUGGUGUUCUAUUGCACAGUAGUGAUAUGGCUAGCAAUAUUAAUCAAACAUUUC